This 80-nucleotide transfer RNA is filed under the name Leptospiraceae bacterium. Its description in RNAcentral is "tRNA-Leu". It matches the Rfam family "tRNA". Rfam says of the family: Transfer RNA (tRNA) molecules are approximately 80 nucleotides in length. Their secondary structure includes four short double-helical elements and three loops (D, anti-codon, and T loops). Further hydrogen bonds mediate the characteristic L-shaped molecular structure. tRNAs have two regions of fundamental functional importance: the anti-codon, which is responsible for specific mRNA codon recognition, and the 3' end, to which the tRNAs corresponding amino acid is attached (by aminoacyl-tRNA synthetases). tRNAs cope with the degeneracy of the genetic code in two manners: having more than one tRNA (with a specific anti-codon) for a particular amino acid; and 'wobble' base-pairing, i.e. permitting non-standard base-pairing at the 3rd anti-codon position. Lineage: Bacteria; Pseudomonadati; Spirochaetota; Leptospiria; Leptospirales; Leptospiraceae. The record is from RNAcentral.
GCGAGCGUGGUGGAACUGGUAGACACGCCAGAUUUAGGUUCUGGUGCUUCGGCAUGGGGGUUCGACUCCCCCCUCCCGCA